GGCCCAGUAGCUCAGCGGUUAGAGCAACGGACUCAUAAUCCGGGGUGCGUGGGUUCAAAUCCCACCUGGGCUA
RNAcentral lists this transfer RNA (73 nucleotides) under Gemmatimonadaceae bacterium. Its description in RNAcentral is "tRNA-Ile". It matches the Rfam family "tRNA". Rfam says of the family: Transfer RNA (tRNA) molecules are approximately 80 nucleotides in length. Their secondary structure includes four short double-helical elements and three loops (D, anti-codon, and T loops). Lineage: Bacteria; Pseudomonadati; Gemmatimonadota; Gemmatimonadia; Gemmatimonadales; Gemmatimonadaceae. The record is from RNAcentral.